GGGGCCGGCGCGCCCCACCGGGACCCCGGCCGGUCCGCCGGGACGCCUCGAUGACCCCCGCUCGCAGCCGGUGCCUCGCAGUUGAAUUGUCUGGAUUUCUGAGCGGGGAGGAAAGGGAGAUCGGGGGCUGGGGCAGCCACACCCCCUCCGGGAUUCCCCCCUUCCCACUCCCGGGUGAAGAGGGGACUUAAUAUGAGCAGCCCCUUGCCCCAUUUGCCGGGGCGCUGGAUUCCCCGGGGGAUGGAGGUGGGGAGAGGGUGGAGCGGGCUCCUGACACCACUAGGAAAAAGAAGAGGGAAGUCUUCUCCCUGUCUUGGACCCUUCGUGGGUGCAAUACAGCCUGCCAGGCUCUUUCCACAUCCUUCUGACCCUGUCAUAACCCGCGAAGUAAGUGAUGUCAGGCCCCAGAGGGCAGAGGGAGGCGAAGCAACGUGGCCAAGGUCACCAGCAAGGAAUUGGGAGAUGGUCAGUGAAUGCCCCUCUCCAUAUCCCGGCUGUGCCAGGCAGGCUUAGCUGCAGAGGCCAGGGCCCGCGAAUAAAACCCCAAAGGGAUGAGAGGAGACUCUGGCUGCGAUUGCUUCCACCCUAGGAUUCCUCCCCAUCCAGUCUCCAGUGCCUAAAUCCCGGGUGGAAAGAGAGAUCUGUGCAGACAGGUCCCCACCCAGCUCCCUGCACCGGAGGGUUUGGUUCCUCCGAGGCUGCUGCGCCAGCAGGACUUGCCCGCAGGGCACACAUAAGCUGUGAAGGGAGACCUGAGGCUGCCGGAAGAGCUGGCCGGAUUGGAAGAAAGGGGGCCCUGAGACUGCAAAACAGCAUGCCUUAUCUAGACCCUCCAGAGAGGCAUCGCGGGUGUCCUGGGCAGGACCAAGGGCAGAGCAAUUUCCUUUACAAUUUAAGUGAAUUUAGUGAUAGGACCGGGUGGGUAGGUAAGGAGGAACCCGCAAGCCCAAGAGUUGCAAAGCCUCUGAACCUCAGUAAAAAUAGGACAUUUGCCUUGGAACUCUGCACCAUCUGUAAGUGCCAUAAAGCACCACUCCCCUCCAAACAAGCCAAGCCUAUUUCAACUGAAAAAGACAGCACUGGGGGAACUUAGGAAGGCAGAUCAUUUUCCUGGGGUGGAUUAUCUUGUGGUUGGCUUAUGUGAGGUUUGGGGACCUCUUUCUGAUACAAACUCACCACAGCCAGCUCUCUAUAAUAUUGAGAAGCUAGAGCUUCUAUGGGAAACUGCUCUUGGUCCAAGCUUUGCUACUCACUCUUCAGGCCAGGUUAUAUGCAGAAUUGGUACUCUGAAGCCUAAGGUCCUAAAUUUGAGGAGGGGAGAAAUUUCUUUUCGUGCUGGGUCCUGUCUUGUCCUCCUGGUGCAGUAAAUUAGUCUGAACCUUUUAUGCCAGUUGAGGAAGCUUUUAGGAUUCUCUAUGAAGUUAAUGUUGGGUUAUUGAACUGAAUUUUGAAAUUCAUUUGGAGAAAUAUCAGCUAAGAUUAUUGGAAAGCCAGAAGUAAAUAUGUUGGGGUGGGGGGUGUUCUUUGUUACCUGUCGUUCUGUUGUGUUAACCUGACGUUUAGUGUCUGGGAAUACUUGGAGUUGCCAGGCAUUCAACCUCAUGAUGGGUCUGUCCUUCACUUAAUAGUGAUAAAUUGGAACAUGCUGAUGCAGGAGCAUUUUGCAUCCUUUUUGUGUACUAAUUGUGUAUGCCUCCUGAAGGAUGCGACAUUGAUGAGACUGAGUGGUUGUUUUCCUUCUAGAUAAGUUCUUCAGUGCCUGCUAAUAGAGCUGUCAGUUAUUUUAACUUUCCCUUUCUGCACAUUGAGAUAGUGUUACUGUGUUCUGUUUGUGUGGGGUGUGGUAAGGGUAAGUAGCUGAUAAUGCUGUUUGUAGGGGUAUAUGUAUUUCACAGCCACAGGAGAGGAUAGAGUUAAUGUUAAUUAGAUGCAGCUGCUCUAAAUCUGUGUUUGAGGUAACUAAAUUUAAAUGUGAAUGCAACAGAUACAUUUUUUUUUUAAAAAUAAGGUAUACUGUUCUGCAGGGUUCGGUUGAAAAAUAGAUCCAAUCAUAACACAAAUGUGGUCACCUAGGAAUUUGAGGAGGAAUUAGAAUCAGGCUAGAAGUUCAAAAGUGUCAUGUUAGAGUAUGUUGAUAAUACUCAUGCUCUCAAAAACAUUACAGUAAGUGUUACAGUCAGAAUGACACAAUAAUUUUGUAAUUGUUUUUCUGAACUUCAGUAUGGUACUGGUCAAGGAUUCAUUGCCCUAAUCUGCAUCUUUAACUCUUGACUCAUAGGACAUGAAGUUGGACUUAUGAAUGAUGGCCUUUUGCAUAAAGUGAAAUAUACCUGUUAGUUUCUUAUUGAUAGGUAACCACCAAGUUGAAUUUUUAUUUACCCCCAAGUUUGCAUAUAUGGAAGGGGCACAUUGUUAGAAAUAUCUUAAGUGGAUCAGAAUUCAGUUCUUAAAAAAAUACGAGGCUUAAGGUUGUUGCCGUCAAAAUGUAAGAAAAAGUUUUGGGGCAAACCACAAAAUCUUGUUGGCAUAUGCUUCACAAGUGAGAUACUUGGAAACUUUAAGAAUGCUGUUUGUGUUACUUUGUGGUUAUUCUUAGGAAUAGUAGGACUUUUGGGUACUUUUUUGGUGAUGUGGAAACUCGGGAAUGGGAAUUCACUUGCGCAGCUUGGAAUUCUUUUCAAAAAAUCAUUUUCUAGUUCCAGUUAUUAAAUGCCUUCCUGUUUAUUUACAGACUUUUUUUUUUUCCUUUGGUUUCCUAAUUAACCUGUAGUUGUCCCAGCUAAAAAAACUGUAGCUCUUUAAGCUUGGAACCCUAAAUUAACCCACACUCCCCCCUUUUGGUGUGUCCCGUUGGCAGACUGCUUUGCAGAUGUUGGUGCUUUUAUUUAAAUCUCUCUGUGAAGAUCACUGUAGGAAAUGGGUCAGAAAUGUGUAGUAAAAGGAGGCUAAGAGUUUGCUUCUGGGCUUCACCUUUGGGGGCAGAAGGUCCCACAGGACGUGGGGGUUACGGUUAGGCUGGCGCACACAAGUGGCUGCUAUUGGGAAGCAGGAAUGGAUUAGCUGCCUGGGUUUCAUCCUGAGGUCUGAGUGUUUUCCAAGCAAAAAGCCGGUGUUUUGCUUAUUCAGCAGUGUGCCAUUUUACUCGUGACUAUUUGGAAAUUAUGAGUAGAUGACUAGGAGACUAGGAGAAGACAGAGUUUUGCUGAGAAAGGAGGGGAAGCAGGCAUUCCAGGACCACUGUUCUGGGAGACAAUAGGAGAGACUUUCCACUUAAAGGCUUAGACUGGUCGAUACUUAGUGCUUGGUUGAAGUCGAUGUAAUAAAUGAAGGUCUGCUUGGUUAUUUUAUAUUGGGUUAGCACUUUAACUUUUGUGAUGAUGGAGGGGGCAUAUCCUGCCCAUUUACUGAACGACUGCUCUGUGCCAUGCCUGUUGUAGGCAUGUGGCACGCAUGAUCACAAUUAAGCCUAAUGUGACCUUUAUGGAGGAGGGACAGUUGUUAUCUCCAUUUUACAGAGAAGAAAAUCAAGGCCUAGAGAGAUGAAGCGAUACAUCCCCAAAGUCCCAUGGCAGUGGAAAUCCUUAAGCAAUUAGAACAUAAAAUAGAUGUUCCAAAUGUUCACAAAGACGUAUUUCAGUGGCUUUGUAGAGAAUGUAAGAGGCUUCCCUUUUCAUUGUACCUUCUAAUUUUGAUCUCAUGAAAUAGAGGUGCCUGAGUUCCUACAUGGCUCAGUUUUUCUUCAUGUUUCCAUUCCAGGGAGUUCUUAAUAGUAAUACUUAAAUACAUUCCUUAUUUUUUUUCUCUGUGUUUUCAGAGACUUUGAUAUGGUUUUUCAGAUUCAGGUGUGGGAUCUUUUUGGGCAUAAUCUAGGAAUAGCAUUCACUCGAAGCAUUUUUGGGGAGCACCUGCUGGGUACAAGUCAUUUUGCUAAGUGUAGCUGAGAUAUUGAAGUUGUUGUCUAGAUUGUGUUAUGGAUGAAGUAAUGGUGUUUGAGAAAGAGGUAAAUAGGGCUGUCAUUCUUAACAAGGUGGGAAGGGGCAGUUUGCGGGUGGGGAAAAUGAUACUAGGGCAUUCACCCCAAUAAUGCAAGGUGAAUCACUCAAAUUACCAUCCAUUUGGUAUACAAACUGUCCAGUGCCCAGCAGUGUGUUAUUACCUGGGGAUAGUAAGAAGAUCAACCCUGCUAUUAAUAAGUACUCCAUCUAAGGGUUUUCUGAAGGGAGCUGACAAUGAAGUGUGGGUCUUGCAUGAGAAAUUCACUUGUGUUAACAUAAACACAUGACAUGCUUAGUCCCUCCUGCGGCCAUAGAAAUGUUUGAAGAAUGAAGAAAUGGAUGAAGGUGUGGAAUGCAGGUAGGCCUCUUUCACCAGUUAUUAGUGAUCCUACUAUGUGCAAACCCCAUGCAUACUAUUAUUUAAUGUUUACCUGGGCCCUACUACUAUGUUUGACCCAUCUUCCCGCAGUUGAAUCUUUUGCCCAAGGGCACACACAUAGUAAGUAGUAGAUUUGGGCAUGGAUCCCAUUUCUGUAACACCCCUGUGCAUACUAGUUAGACUACACCUGUAUGUUUCUUCACCCUCCAAGUAACUUUUAAUUUUUACUCAUGUUCAUUUGGACUUCAUCUUCUGUGCUGAUGACAGGAGGUCAUUAAUCUAUGAUAAAUGCUUUUAGGUUCUCCAGUGUUAUCUGUGGAAUCUCACACAUAGGGCCUCUGUGGCCAGGGCUUGAAGUCUGAUCUCAUUCAUUGGGCUCCGAGUGUUCUGGAAUGCAGUUGCAGUAUUUCUCUUAAAUUUUGAAAGCUGAUAAACUAAGCAGCAAGGCUAGUUAGGUAGCCGCUCCUAAAGUUGGUUAUGGUCUCAAAGUAAAUCUCAGGCAGAGUUUAGAUAAAAUCAGGGUUAGUUCUGUGCAUUGUUUGAGGUCAAUAUAAGAUGCUUUCUUUGUCACUAACCUUUUGAAGAUAAAACAGCAAAAGGUGAAUAAGUCUUCCCUUGAUGCUGCUCUCUUACGUAGAAUUCAGGCUCUGUGGUCCAGCCUUUGAUCCAGUUCGAAGGUACUGAGGAUGAGUUUUCUCUGGACAUAAGCAGCAAAGGGCCCAUAAAAAUGACAUGUACUGAAUUUUCUUACCCCUACUUGAUUUCUAGUGCCAGCGAUAAAAGAGUUUAGGGUAGAGAAGAAAAAGGGAAAGGCAAAGACCACUCCUUUUCUCUGUUCUUCAAAGACCUCUUGUUGGAUUGCCCUCGAAAUUUCAGCUGUUUGUAGUUAGAUGGUGCUGCCAGCAGUCGUCCCUGGGCUCAGCAGACGUGAAAAAGGCCCAGUGGCUUCCAGCUCUCCCCUGGCAUACUUAGUUUGGGACUGUUGACCAGCCUGUCUUUGACUGCGAGCUGCCCACAGCCCUGGCCAAAGAACCACUGCUCUUGGUUGAGGUUGCUGGAGGACUUUGGCUGCCUGCCUCUGGCUUCCUGGUUGUCCACAGCCCUGCCUUUGUGCUGGGUGUUGGGAAUCUCUAAUAACUGAAGGCAAAUGGAACCUGGAGAAAGUCUAAGCUGGUGCUUCCCAGCCAAGGAGCCUUGAUCUCUGACGGGCCCAUGGAGGUGGUGAUGGGAGUCUAAUAAUCACGUGCAGUAUUUCAGAAACAAUAAUAGAUGCCUUAAUAACAGGGUUCAGCAUAUCCCUCAUGCCAGCUCUCUUUGGUUUUGGUCAAACUAUAUUAGCUCAGUGGUGUAGCAAGGAUUAUCUUCCGCUGCUCAGAGGCUUGGAUUUCCUCUGAUUCCUGCAGUUGGGAAGAUUCCUGCAGUUGGGAAGCCAAAUAUGAUCUCACUCCUGUGAUUGGUUUCCUAGAAGAAUCUUCGAGUUUUGUAUCCCCAUGGGAGAAAACUCAGAAGGAAUGAGGACUCACAUAGACCUAACUUUGUCCCGUUAUGGAGACUGAAGCCUAAGAUGGGAAGGAAAUUGGGCAGAGAUCUGAUUCAGGUCUCUCAACUUCCAGCCCAGGCUCUUUGCACCAUGCUCUCAAAAAAGAGGUAUGGAGGCUGUUUGUACACCGUGGUGGGUUUCUCUAAAACUUGCUUCUAGGUCAGAGGAGUGGAACGUAAACCUGAUUUUCGGAACUUGUUUUUGCUAGCCAGUCUGCUGGUGUAAAUUUUGGUCUCACAAGGUGUGCUUUGGGGCCACAGCAGCCUUCCCUGAUGCUAAGUUAAGAGGCUUUUGUCAGAAGCCUUAUGGGUUCUGGAUGUUCAAACACUACGCAGACUUUUGCCUUUAUAUCUGUGAGUCAAGGGAGCCUCAAGAGAGGUGGUUUCCAUUUAUGUAACCUAGUCAUUUAGGGGCUAGAGCCAGACAUUGGCCUGAGCCAUUCUCAUAUGUAGUAGUUAAACAUGAGUAAGUGAUGGGCUCGAGACCACUUUGCCAUCUGAGCCUCAGUUUCCUCAGUGUUAAAGAGGCACUCAUCACAUGACUUCAUCGUUGGUAAAAUGUGGCCUGAUGAAUGUCAAGGUCUGACCAGUCAGGAUUAGUCAGCCUUUCUUUUGUGGGGUGGGGAGGAAGGAGGUAAGAGGCAUUCCUUGGUAGGGAGAUGGGUAGAGUUCUCUCCAUUGUGAACCAGUGGCGACACUUAGGUUCCCUUACCUGGGUUCCCUUACCUGGGUUCAUUGUAGCCCUCUUGUCUUGGAAUCUGUGUCAGGCACGUUACUGAACUUUACUGUGUGUCAGUUCCCUCCUGGGGAUCGAACCUCUCCCUUCGGAUAGUGCCUUUUCUAUGGUAAGGGCUCUAGAAAGAAUUGUUCUUAUUAUCCUCAUGCUGUUGCUGUUCAUUACUGUUGGAUUAGACCCUCGAAUGUGUAGCCGAGAGGACAAGACACUUGGUCGACUCAUUUCAGGACGGUGGGUGAUGAAGAGGUCAGAUGAUGGAGCCAGCUGUGGGCCUUCGAAGAGCUAACUGGAUGGUGGAAGCGUAGAUGAGACUGGCGGGAAGGCCAGGGCACCAGUAACACUUGCACUAUUGGGGGUCACGUGACAGUCAAAGCCAGUUUCAUCUGAAGGAGACCGACCCCUCAGUUUUCUAUAGACAGCUCUUGGUGGCUGAGGUCAGGGAAUCACUGACCCAGACCAGCCUGAGGGUUGGCCCAGUUGGGCUCUGCUGGUGCGGCCUCACUCUCUGGGCUUCCUUUGUGCCUGCAGAUUCUUUCUGUUUCCUCCCUCCCCCUGCUUUCUCUCCACUGGUGCAUCAAAGCCAUGACAGUGCUGCCCCAUUUGAUUUUUGCUGGGGCUGUGGGGUAAGGGGCCACUUUUUCUGUUAUGUCAUAAAUGCAGGUACUUGAUUCCAGUCAUUUGUGGGGAGCUUUGGGGGGAAGCGUUUAUGCCUUGCCUCUGACUAGGACAGAGCAUGCAGCUACGUUGUAUGCUUUACUGAUUACAGCCUGAAGCUCUGAGGCCACAAGGAAUUCUAUUUUGGUUUAGAGGCAGGCGCCUGAAAGUGAAAAGGACUUAUCCUUGGAUUUACAUUUCAUUGUGUCUCCUAGCUUCUUUUCACUGUCAGGAAGAUGAGUUUUAAUUAUUUGUGAGGCAGGGGUUCAGUCAGAUCUGGAAGCACUUGACCCCACUUGGUCAUAACAGAGUCUGAGAGUUCACAGUAGGUUCUUCCAGCCCAGAGACCAUUCUGAGCAGCCCAGUGUUGUGGUGCUGUUUGUGGUCACUUACGUAAGAACUGAAUUUUAAUGCUGAGGCUAUGGUGUAAUUUUCCCCAGAGAACUGGAAUAUAUGUCCCUUUGAUAAGACAGCACCCGAUUCAACCAUCUAGAAGUUAGAAAAAUAAAACCAGAACAUCAUCCAUAGCAACUACAUUUUGGUACCAACUGCUGAAGAAAGCAGAGUUGGCUACGUCAAGCUGGAUCACCCCUUUCAUGGCCACACGUGCUCUGGAUGGAGAAUAGAAGCUCUUCCAAGCCCCUACUACUAAUACAGCUUGGAUACCUUGUAUUUCUGUAGCAUUAUGCUCAGGGGCAAGAGCCAAGACGGCCAUGUCCCCAGUGCUCAGCCUAGCACCUGACCUGAUGACUGUGUGAUAAAAUAAAUUUGACAGAGCUGAAAAAGGCCUUUAGAGACUGUCUGGUUCAACUCCUCUUUUCUAGGGAUGAUGAAGUUAGGCUCUUCCAUUGUAAGUAACAGAUUCUACCACCCCUCCCCCUGCCCCCAACAAAACAAAAUACAGCUCGUUUAAGCACAGUAAGGACUUGCUUUAAAGACUCAUGGGGCUGUUUCCUGGAAUAUGAGGGGCAAGAAUGAUAGGACGGUUGGAGAUUUUCUUCUGGGCAGAUGGCAGAGGAUGGCAGCCCAGGCCCUACCUGCCCCCUCACUCCAGUACCCUGCACUGAGUCUCUGAAGCUGAUUGACACAGCUGGAAGGAUGGGACUGGUCCAGCUUGGGUCAGGAUUACCCAAGGAUGGCCACUAGUCCAGUCAUUUUUGGCUAAGUUUCUGGGCUUACCUGAUGGGCGGGUCUAAGCCCUCACCUUCGUCAAGGACUGGGUAUGACAGCGAUCGUCAGGGAAGAGUCAAGAGGGUGGGGAAGCUCCUUCUUUGUACACCCAGAUCACACAGCAAAACUGGGACUUGGAUCUGGAUCUUCUAGCCCCACUGUCUUCGUCCUUGGCGUGAGAGGGAAAUGGAGACCACAGCACUUCACAGGGUUAUCAAGAGAACGAGCUACAUGCCUAGUAGCAUCCAGUGAAACCAGGAAGAUGUGUACUUCUCUGCCCUUCCCCCUGGAAAUCUCACCUCCUCUUGACCCUUCUGCAGUGUAUUCAUUCGGGACAUUUUGAAGGGCUGUGGUCAGAGCACUGUGCUGCCUAGUUGUAGCUUUCCUGAUGUGGUCAGGAAAGACCAACAUUCCACACAGGGUGUGGGUAGAGAAGAAACACGCCAUUGCCGUUUAAAUCCACAGUGGUGACAUGGUGCUCAAAAAUAAUCCUCCAUAGAUACCCAGGAUGGAUGGAAGACUGCAGAGCAGCUAGGCUCUGCUUGGGAAAGUUUCCGUUAAGUACCAGGACUGCCAAGGUCCGACGAGGACAGAUCGUUUUCCUUCAGCCAUUAAGUGGCUUCUUCUCUGACCAGUUACACACAAAAUAAAAUUCAAGCAUCUUCA
Mustela erminea (ermine) is the source of this 9139-nucleotide long non-coding RNA. RefSeq lists it as uncharacterized. The transcript is spliced from 2 exons. Lineage: Eukaryota; Metazoa; Chordata; Mammalia; Carnivora; Mustelidae. The record is from RefSeq and is a predicted model, not a curated record.